This 991-nucleotide long non-coding RNA is filed under the name Ursus maritimus (polar bear). Its description in RNAcentral is "lncRNA (ENSUMAG00000010146.1)". The record is from RNAcentral. Lineage: Eukaryota; Metazoa; Chordata; Mammalia; Carnivora; Ursidae.
CAAAGACAGAGUCUGCCACUUCCGAUUUUUUUUUCUUUUAAAAAUGUCAGCGUGCUGCUGACACAGGAACAUCGCUGAGACAAACAGCAGCUCUGACUCACAGAGAGCACAUCAAAGAAAUGGCCCUGAUAAGCGGCCGGCGGGAAUGAGAGAAAAAGGCCAGAGAACAGAAGCCAAACUCUUGGAGAAGAGAUGACUGUUGUCAGCUGUCACGGAAGGACACUGGAGAUAGAGGCCUGGGUCUGUCCUGCCGUGGCCUGGGUCAGCGUUUUGCGGUGGCUCACUUUCUCGGACCAGGCAGCUGUGGGCGGGCCCCAGCCCAAGGCUGACUCCCGGCCCCUCAGGGAAGGCGUCAGAUGCUUCCGGGCUGAGGCAGGAAUGACGUCAGCGAUGGGUCCGUCCUGGGGUGGGUGCUCAGUGCUGUUGCCAUGACGGCUGGCUUGGUGCUCGGUGACCACCAGCACCAGGCAGCCCCUAUUCCUCACCUAACCUAUUCUUUCUUGACUCCUGGACCUGGCCUCGACGGUUCCCUCUCCAGCUUGUCUCCGUCCUGAUGCUUGGGACUGAGGACCCACAGGCUUAAGUACUCCAGCCUCAAAGGGACAGAGGUGGCUCCCGUCCCCUACCUCUCGGCCUCCCCCCUCCCUGGUGAAAUGAACUCACAGCUGACUGGGGCAGCUGCUUUCGAUCCAUCUGGAAUUCCUGCCGCAGGCAGCCCCAACAGGACCACUUUGAACUCCUGUGAGCUGCUUCUAAACACCAUGAACAAGGACACGGGUGAGCGCUGGAGCCAGCCCGACUGGGCUCAAGACCCUGAAAGCACCACUCUCCAGCGACGUGACCUCAGAUCAGUUACAUAACCUCUGUGCAUCUCAUUUUCCCCACGCAUAAACAUUGGACCUCACGGAAUCUUUAUGUGAAUUAAAUGAGAUAAUGUGGUUCUUGGCGCAUAGUAAGUGCUCAAUAAAUAUUCAUCCUUCUGUUUGCCCCA